Molecule: transfer RNA, 72 nt
Filed under: Ovis aries (sheep)
Lineage: Eukaryota; Metazoa; Chordata; Mammalia; Artiodactyla; Bovidae
Rfam family: tRNA
About the family: Transfer RNA (tRNA) molecules are approximately 80 nucleotides in length. Their secondary structure includes four short double-helical elements and three loops (D, anti-codon, and T loops).
Source: Rfam by way of RNAcentral
UCCCAGGUGGCUUAGAUGGUAAAGAAUCUGCCUGCAAUGCAGGAGACAUGGGUUUGAUCCCUGGCUUGGGAA